RNAcentral lists this ribosomal RNA (465 nucleotides) under uncultured bacterium. Its description in RNAcentral is "partial 16S ribosomal RNA". It matches the Rfam family "Bacterial small subunit ribosomal RNA", at positions 338 to 795 of the family's 1533-position model. The record is from RNAcentral.
CCUACGGGAGGCAGCAGUGGGGAAUAUUGCGCAAUGGGCGAAAGCCUGAUGCAGCGAAGCCGCGUGAGGGAUGAAGGCCUUCGGAUCGUAAAACUCUUUCAGUAGGGAAGAAAGGUCACUGAUGUAUUCAGUAGUGAAUUGACGGUACCUGCAAAGGAAGCACCGGCUAACUCCGUGCCAGCAGCCGCGGUAAUACGGAGGGUGCGAGCGUUAAUCGGAAUUACUGGGCGUAAAGCGCACGCAGGCGGUAUGUUAAGUCAGAUGUGAAAUCCCCGGGCUCAACCUGGGAACUGCAUUUGAAACUGGGAAGCGUGAGUGCGUGAGAGGAGGGUGGAAUUCCAGGUGUAGCGGUGAAAUGCGUAGAUAUCUGGAGGAACAUCGGUGGCGAAGGCGGCCAUCUGGACAAUAACUGACGCUGAGGUGCGAAAGCGUGGGUAGCAAACAGGAUUAGAUACCCUUGUAGUC